Molecule: ribosomal RNA, 492 nt
Filed under: uncultured bacterium
Lineage: Bacteria
Description: partial 16S ribosomal RNA
Rfam family: Bacterial small subunit ribosomal RNA
Source: RNAcentral
AGUGAACGCUGGCGGUAGGCCUAACACAUGCAAGUCGAACGGCAGCACAGUAAGAGCUUGCUCUUACGGGUGGCGAGUGGCGGACGGGUGAGGAAUACAUCGGAAUCUACUUUUUCGUGGGGGAUAACGUAGAGAAACUUACGCUAAUACCGCAUACGACCUACGGGUGAAAGCAGGGGAUCUUCGGACCUUGCGCGAUUGAAUGAGCCGAUGCCGGAUUAGCUAGUUGGCGGGGUAAAGGCCCACCAAGGCGACGAUCCGUAGCUGGUCUGAGAGGAUGAUCAGCCACACUGGAACUGAGACACGGUCCAGACUCCUACGGGAGGCAGCAGUGGGGAAUAUUGGACAAUGGGCGCAAGCCUGAUCCAGCCAUACCGCGUGGGUGAAGAAGGCCUUCGGGUUGUAAAGCCCUUUUGUUGGGAAAGAAAAGCAGCAGGUUAAUACCCCGCUGUUCUGACGGUACCCAAAGAAUAAGCACCGGCUAACUUCGUG